RNAcentral lists this ribosomal RNA (253 nucleotides) under uncultured bacterium. Its description in RNAcentral is "partial 16S ribosomal RNA". It matches the Rfam family "Bacterial small subunit ribosomal RNA", at positions 524 to 776 of the family's 1533-position model. The record is from RNAcentral.
UACGUAGGGGGCAAGCGUUGUCCGGAUUUAUUGGGCGUAAAGAGCUCGUAGGCGGUUCCGUAAGUCGGAUGUGAAAAAUCUGGGCUCAACCCAGUGGAGCACCCGAUACUGCGGUGACUCGAGUCCGGUAGGGGAGUGUGGAAUUCCUGGUGUAGCGGUGAAAUGCGCAGAUAUCAGGAAGAACACCGAUGGCGAAGGCAGCUCUCUGGGACGGUACUGACGCUGAGACGCGAAAGCGUGGGGAGCAAACAGG